AGUGAACGCUGGCGGUAGGCCUAACACAUGCAAGUCGAACGGCAGCACAGUAAGAGCUUGCUCUUACGGGUGGCGAGUGGCGGACGGGUGAGGAAUACAUCGGAAUCUACUUUUUCGUGGGGGAUAACGUAGGGAAACUUACGCUAAUACCGCAUACGACCUACGGGUGAAAGCAGGGGAUCUUCGGCCCUUGCGCGAUUGAAUGAGCCGAUGUCGGAUUAGCUAGUUGGCGGGGUAAAGGCCCACCAAGGCGACGAUCCGUAGCUGGUCUGAGAGGAUGAUGAGCCACACUGGAACUGAGACACGGUCCAGACUCCUACGGGAGGCAGCAGUGGGGAAGAUUGGACAAUGGGCGCAAGCCUGAUCCAGCCAUACCGCGUGGGUGAAGAAGGCCUUCGGGUUGUAAAGCCCUUUUGUUGGGAAAGAAAAGCAGCAGGUUAAUACCCCGCUGUUCUGACGGUACCCAAAGAAUAAGCACCGGCUAACUUCGUG
This 492-nucleotide ribosomal RNA is filed under the name uncultured bacterium. RNAcentral's name for it is "partial 16S ribosomal RNA". It matches the Rfam family "Bacterial small subunit ribosomal RNA", at positions 29 to 507 of the family's 1533-position model. The record is from RNAcentral.